Molecule: long non-coding RNA, 6724 nt
Filed under: Gallus gallus (chicken)
Lineage: Eukaryota; Metazoa; Chordata; Aves; Galliformes; Phasianidae
Description: lncRNA (ENSGALG00010006258.1)
Source: RNAcentral
CAUACCUAAGUGGUGACUUUGGGCUUAAAAUUGUGUUAACAUUGUGAAUGUUGGUUUUGAAUGACUUUACUACCUGUGGAUCAUUAUCAAAGUGACUAAUCCUUCUUAAGAGUGGAGCAUAUGCGUCAAGUUUUACUCAACAACAAUCUGAGAAUACUGUGAAACUGGAGAAAUGCCUUAAGCUCAUACAGCAACUUACAUGCAUUCUAAGGAAGAAGGUAAAACAAAAGAUGUUGUAUUUCCUGUACAUUAAAGUAUAAGUGGUGCCAAAGGAAUCCCCAGAACAGAAAGAGAAGGUAGAAUCUGUUAUUCCCAGAGAUCAUUCUUGAGAUCCACAGCUGAGCUACUGCAGCAUUAGCUGACCAGACAGCUCCUGACCAAGCCUCGGCUUCUAGCAGACAUUGAAUUAUCUCUCCUACUGAAGCAAUGUGAAUCAUAGCAAAGGACUCAUGGAGAAUGGAGAGCCAUGUAUCGUCAGCACAAUGAUAGCAUCUAGUUCAGCAUCUCACUUCUAAACUUCUCAGUGGUUUCCAUAACACUUUGAGUAGGAGGAAAGAAGAGGAGGCAAGGACUAGUCAUACAAUUAGGCAAAUGGCUGUCUACUAUUUACUACUUCCCUGCUACACGUUUUCCCACAAAUACAAGCUCAGUCUCUCCCUAUCUAUACUUGCUGAGGCUGUGGGCUAGUUUAGAAUAGAAUGUAAGCAGCAGAGCACUCAUCAGCUGAAGUCAGCUGAACAAUACACAACAUUGACACAGACAACUUGCUGUUAAUAUCAUCUAGUGAAACUCAUCAUUAGUAUCAUAAAAUAUUUUUAGUUCAAUGCCUGAAGCCACCUAAAAUGGGUGUUAAGAAAUUCAAAAGAAUUUAUUCUUAUGAAAGGUCCUAUCAUCCCUCUUUUCUAGAACCAGGAUAUUCAAGCCAGCUUGCAACAGUCAUAAAUUCUCACAAAUUGCUGACCCAACAGAGGGUUUUCAUCUAUGUGCACGCGGAUGUCACAAAUAGCCAUUAUGCUCACUGAAACAAAGCUACAGAAAAAUCUGAAAACUUACCCAAAGUAAGUCUACAGUAGUCUAGAGCAAGCUGAAUGCUUAUGGCAUCAAUACCAUUUUAGUGGUGUCUGCAUGCACAAAUAUUUUAGUACAGUGUUUUCAGGAUAGUCCCACAAUAAAGGGUAGAGUCAAUGUGAUAUAUAUAUAUAUAGUAUAUAGAUAUAAAUAGCCAUCCACUUGAAUCUACUGAUCAACUUUUCUCACUAACAAGAGAAACUGCUUUUUAAAAGACUGUACACAGCUAGCCCAGCUCCCCAGGUGACCUGAAAGGAAUAAAAUUCUUGUGAUAGGUAAAGCAAGAAGGCUAGGAUAAAGCUACAUUAAACUGGGAGUAAAUGAAUACAUGAAAUUUGUUCCUACUCUGACCAAUGUUAUUAAUUUCCAAAUGACAUAAAAUGAGAAGGAAAGAUGAUUCUGUGCAUAUCCUUUUCAUCUAUACCCUUCUCACGGUUCCACAUCUCAGAAAGAAGAGACUGUUGUAUCACAAGUUUACUUCAUUCGUGUUCUCUUGCAGGAGAUGGAAAGGAAAAGAACUGAUGGUUUGCAGGAAUGCAAAAUAAGGGCACUGGCUACGGCAAUGUCCAGAGAACACGUGGCUUGCAGAAGCUGGAUGGCUUCAUUCUCCCUUGGAAUAACGACACCCAGGAUCUGCCCAGCUCCAGAGCCAUCACUAAGGAUGUGCUAUAUAUAACACAGGAUAUAAGGAUAUAUAUAUGUAUAUAACACAGAUAUAACAAAGGAUGUGUUAGAUACAUGUUUUAAGGGUCAGGCAACUAGGGCAAGUGUAAUUUUACCACUGCAUGUCCUCCAUGAACAGGUGUUUCUCAAAUCAGAGAACAACCCAAGUUGGAAGGAUGGUCCACAGGGACCACUGAGACAAACUCCUGUCUCCACUCAGGACCACCCUGAAGCCCUCAUUCAAACCUUAUGUCUGAGAGCAUUGUCCAAACACCCCUUCAGCUCCGGCAGCUUGGGGCCAUGAUCACUCCCCUGGGGAGCUUUUUCCAUGCCCGUAGUCCUCUGGAGAAGAACCUUUUUCCAGUGCAGCUCCAUGAACUCAUCUGAGUCCAUUGUGCAGCCCAAUUAUUCAGGCCUCUGGUUGGGUAGCAGAAUUAUGUUUGGCCAACGAGGCUGCCAAAUACUUCAAAAAACAACUGGCUACUAGGCAUUAUGUUGGUCCUGGUGUCACACAGAUGGCACUUCUUGGUUAGUUUCAGGGAAAAAGUGUCAGAGCAGGGAUCUGAGAAGACUUGAAGUACAAUUUUACAUUAGUCCUACAGAUACAGGGUACUGCCAAAGGUGUGAAAUUCUUAAAUAGAAAUAUCAAGAAUAUUACAAAGAAUAAUCUACAGGUGUGAUAGUAUAAUUUAAAAGAUCCCACUGAACCCUGGCUUUCAGCUAUUACUCUGACAUGUACAUAUAAAGACUCUCAAUUUCCCCCAUUUUUUUCACCACUCAUAAUUUUCUAUAUAUUACACAAUAAUUCCCAUUUAUACACUAAUUCUCUUUCUCCUUUCAUCUGUUAACCGUCAGGUUCCCAAAUGCCUACAGUACAUGUGUUGCCUCUGCCUUCAGUGUUUUUCCAUCCUCUUCCACUCCUUCAUUGCUCAUCUUCAUUCUCAAACAAAUCCAGGACAGGUAGCUGUGUGCAGCACUCAGAUUAGCUAGCCUAAGCACAGGAAUCCCUAAAAGAUAACCAUGCUUCCGCAUGUGCAUCUGUUUCAGUAGUUGUUCUUACAUGUCUCUGAAUGUAUUUAACAUAAUUAUAUGUGUUAUUGCACCAGGAUUCAUCAUUAUAGAACAGUCAAAAAAGUCUAUCCCACAGAGUGUGGAGAGGGGAUUUUGAGGAAUGCAUUGUAAUACUACCAGUACAUCAUCUGUUUUGCUCUAUUUCCCAUAGUAUGUUAUUUAAUUUAGCCUUGAUAAAGUACUGGGAGGCUUUAAACCAUGCUCUUAGUCAUGAAAAUGUUCACAAAGCAGAAAACAGAAAAUGUUUUCUGCAUGGAACAAAGGGAACAAAAGGCAAGAAUUAUACCUAAAAGUACCAGGCUACAGUGUGAACAGAUUUUAUUGGACAUUUGUAUAAAAUGUCAGAGCACUUCAUUCUGGAGUAAUUCUGUCCUUAUUGCUCAUUUUUCUUCCCCCUUCUACUUCAGAGCUUCUUUUUCAGUACUUUUUUUUUUUUUUUUUUUUUUUUUUUUACUUUUGAAAUCUCUGCUUCUUAAAGACCACUUUUGCAUCCGUGUUUUUUUUUUUCUUUUCUUUUUUUCCCCAUGGUUUUAAAUCUACAUGUUCAGAAGUAAAUCCUGUGGCUCCUCCUGUUUCCCAGCUGUUUAGUGCUUCUCAUGCUACCUCCCUCUUGCCUGCUUAAAGAAAACACAGGGGGGAUGCUUAGGAACUGAGAAAAGGAAAAUAGUGAAUGGUUUAAAACACUGAGGAUCACAAUAGCCAGAAAAGUUGUGAGACAGAGGACAGAAUAGUUGAAGUUGAGGCAGCUUAUUUUUAGUCCUUCUUUUCCCAGCAGCUUGUUUGCUUCCUAUAACUGAGUCUGGAUUGCAGUAACAUCUCUACAAAGUAUUUCAGAACAGCCUAAUGUCCUAACAAGGAGUAUGUCCAGUUUUCCAUUUUCAAGAAGUUCAGGCACCCUGCAAGCAAAACUUGGCUCUGUAAAAAUCUCAGAAGCGGGCAAUUUUAACUAGCCUGAGAUAGAGGAGGUAAGAGUGAUCCUGUCUGUAGUCAGCCUUUGCAGCCUCAAAGUAUGGACAUCUUCAGCAUUAGAGGAGCGCAGAGAUAAGGGAGGCAUUGUUGCACAUAUAACACUUCCCAUUUUCCAUGCUGCUUCAGCUGUUAAAUUUUCAUCUGCCUGUAGAUGCUGAAAUAUAUCCACAAAUUGAAGACUCCUAUACCUCAAAUGAAACUAACAUAUAAAGGAUAAUGUUUUACAAGUGAAAUGAAUAGGUAGAGUCCGCACAAACACUGAUUUCCAGGUAGGAUAACAUCAUAAACACAGGGAAAUUAAAUUAAUGGUUGAAUGAUAACAUUACUAAACUCCCAGCAUUAAUAAUCAGACAUAAAUCUUUAACUGUCUGUGACUGAGGACUCCUGUAUCUUGUUAUAACUCACCUCCCUACAGAAUACACAUCUCCUUCUAAAUAUAAAUAUUUGAAAUUACAAUCUAUGUGUGUUGGAGUAUGAUAAAAUGUGCAGGAAUUAACAGGUUGAUACUAAAAAAUAACGUGUCUGGAAAGUAUAUAUUAAUACUAAAAACGGGGAAGCCGUCUUGCACUGGUCUUGUUUGUUUGCUCUUCAGUCAAUUUCAAUUAGUGUUCUUGGAACUGUAUGUGUGGAGUAAUAUUAGCUCUGAAAAAUCAGUAACCCCCAAUUUUUUACUGCAUUCAAGUACAGUUUUAUCUUACCUGUGCAUUAGCAACGAGAGGGAAAUAAAAGAAGAUAACUGGGGGAUUAUCUUUUGUCCUGGUUUCAUCUUUAUGACCAAAACCUACUAAAUCUGUCAUCUCUACUACAGAUAAAUGGUUUGUAAAGUUUUGAAAUAAUCAUAUGCAUCCAAAAAUGGUGAAUUUCCAAAGUAAACUGGGAGUAAAAUAUCAAACCAGAGCACCUUCUGCAGGUCUGCCAGUACUCAGCCCACCUAUGUUUUAAGAAACAACCCCCAAAUCACCUCAAAACAUGUUGCAAACUUUUGUUUGUUUGUUUGUUUUUAAAUAUUCCUCACUGUCUUUAGCUUAGGAGCUGUAAUUUGACAAGCAGCUGACAUUGCAUUUUAAUAAUUAUGAUUAACCAAGUUAUAAAAGUUUUCAAUAUUUUAUUAUUUUUUUCUUUUUAGGUGCAUCAGCUUCUUGCUGAAUUAGCUAUUUCCUAACAUUUCUCAGUAGUGCAUGCUACACAUUAUAAGUCAACUGUGAUUUUGAGUGAUGUAUAAAGUAUAAUGAUUUUUUUUUCCAUAUUCUUUGUAUUGAUGAAGACAGAGAAAACACUGCAGCUCUGGUUUCAACCUUGAAAGAGCUACAAUCUGUUCUUUACUAUGUCACAUUCUUCAUCUGUAACAUGGGAACAGCAAUUGCUACGCUGUACCGUGAUGUGGGGUAUGAUCAAUGUGAUGUGCUCAGCUACUGCAGUAAAGAAAAACAAGAUGGGUAGCACUCCAGAAAAGACAAAAAGAUGAGUUAGUAUACAUGAAAGAACAGUGACAUUAGGACCUUUGUUUCUGAGUUUUAUUUGUAAGAUACAGAUCGGGAUUUACUGUUUAACACAUAUAAGGGGAAAGCUGACUUUGACUUGGUCUUGUGGGCUUUCCUUUCAGGAAACUCAUUUUUAACUUUGUGGACAGUACUCCAAAGCCACUUCCAAUGACAUUUUUUUCUGUAGGUGAAUCCCGCAUAGCUGGGAAACAGAAGAUAUGAAGACACACAUGCUCACAGGUGGUCCAUGUGCUCAUGGAUUUCAUGAGGAGCAUCCCACUGGUUUCAGCAGGAGACAGAUUCCAACCCCUCGGCACAGUAAAACCACACAUUUCUUCCAUCAGUGGCAUGGAGCACUGGCAGGGACACAAACCCAGUUCCUGAGAUUCUGAGAAGACAACACUUGCUCAGCUUUGCAAAAGCCAUCUGGGAUCUUCAGAUAUAAGGACUGAAAUGUUACCUGUUUCAACCUGCAGGAAUAUUGCCACCAGGUUUGGGAAGGCCUGGAUUUCACCUAAAGCACUGCAAACAACAUGUUUACAUCUGCAUCUUAUUGAUCGCUUUUUGUUGGCCUGUUUGAAAAAAGUAACAGGAGAAUGGGGGGGGGGAACCACACACACACACAAAAAAAAAAAAAAAGAAAGAAAAAGAGAAAAAAUAAAUGAAUUGCAGGGUGGAAGGAGUGGGAAAAGAGCUCGGUUGUGAGGGAGCCACAGCAAUACUACUAAAACAACUACUUUGUUUUAUAUUGGGUCUACUUCCAUGGCAUCUAACACCACAUGUAAAUGCUAAUACUCCCUGAAUGUUAUCACUUCAUGAAGGUUCAACAGCAAAGUGAUCUAAAAGACAGUGCUGUAAUGAAAUGCCAUGAGGUUAGGAACUGUCAGCACUCCAUCGCAAACCACCACAACACGCAAUGAACUGGGAAAUUAGCAAACUUUCUCCAAUAUAUACUAAAGGUAAAAAGAAUAAAAGAUAUAUAAAUGAAUAUUCUGUUAUCUGCAGACAUCACUGUGGUGUUACAACACCAGACAAGAACACAGUGCAUCAGAAAUGACAAAUAAGGGAUCCCACUUUUCUGAUCCUUUUAUUGGGAAGAUGUAGUGAUUUCUGAAUCUCCACCCAGAUAAGGAAACUUCAGUCUAAAAAUUUUCUGUUCUAUGAAAUACUCAUAGAUAAGGCACUUCCACCUUUUAAAAUAAUGAAUUAAAUGCUUGCUCUGCAAAAUGCACCUACGCUGUAUGCAAGGAUGUUGACCUCUCGCCAUCGCUUCCUAUGAGUUCACACAACGCAGCGGUGACACGGGGCCAUGGGGAAGCCCCCGCACUCUGCACGCACGUGUCACCUCCCGCACUCCUCCACCCCUGCACGGAGCAUCCCACACAGCUCCCGGCCUGGGCUGCUGGCGGGGCAGUCGCAGCUCAUGGUGGCUGCAGGAAGCGGCACAUCUGCCCUCGGCGCGCCCCGCUGCC